RNAcentral lists this ribosomal RNA (497 nucleotides) under uncultured bacterium. RNAcentral's name for it is "partial 16S ribosomal RNA". It matches the Rfam family "Bacterial small subunit ribosomal RNA", at positions 28 to 507 of the family's 1533-position model. The record is from RNAcentral.
GAUGAACGCUGGCGGCGUGCCUAAUACAUGCAAGUCGAGCGAACAGAUGAGGAGCUUGCUCCUCUGACGUUAGCGGCGGACGGGUGAGUAACACGUGGAUAACCUACCUAUAAGACUGGGAUAACUUCGGGAAACCGGAGCUAAUACCGGAUAAUAUAUUGAACCGCAUGGUUCAAUAGUGAAAGACGGUUUUGCUGUCACUUAUAGAUGGAUCCGCGCCGCAUUAGCUAGUUGGUAAGGUAACGGCUUAACAAGGCAACGAUGCGUAGCCGACCUGAGAGGGAGAUCAGCCACACUGGAACUGAGACACGGUCCAGACUCCUGCGGGAGGCAGCAGUAGGGAAUCUUCCGCAAUGGGCGAAAGCCUGAAAGAGCAACGCCGCGGGAGUGAUGAAGGUUGUCGGAUCGUAAAACUCUGUUAUGAGGGAAGAACAAAUGUGUAAGUAACUAUGCACGUCUUGACGGUGCCUAAUCAGAAAGCCACGGCUAGCUAGGUG